This 51-nucleotide ribosomal RNA is filed under the name uncultured Sebacina. Its description in RNAcentral is "partial 28S ribosomal RNA". Lineage: Eukaryota; Fungi; Basidiomycota; Agaricomycetes; Sebacinales; Sebacinaceae. The record is from RNAcentral.
UUGGCCUCAAAUCGAGUAGGAUUACCCGCUGAACUUAAGCAUAUCAAUAAG